UACGGGGGGGGCAAGCGUUGUUCGGAAUUACUGGGCGUAAAGGGCUCGUAGGCGGCCAACUAAGUCAGACGUGAAAUCCCUCGGCUUAACCGGGGAACUGCGUCUGAUACUGGAUGGCUUGAGGUUGGGAGAGGGAUGCGGAAUUCCUGGUGUAGCGGUGAAAUGCGCAGAUAUCAGGAGGAACACCCGUGGCGAAAGCGGCUCUCUGGGACGGUA
RNAcentral lists this ribosomal RNA (216 nucleotides) under uncultured prokaryote. RNAcentral's name for it is "partial 16S ribosomal RNA". It matches the Rfam family "Bacterial small subunit ribosomal RNA", at positions 524 to 739 of the family's 1533-position model. The record is from RNAcentral.